GGAAUGAUGGUGACCCAAACCCUCACCAGAGUAGCAAUUGGAGGGCAAGUCUGGUGCCAGCAGCCGCGGUAAUUCCAGCUCCAAUAGCGUAUAUUAAACUUGUUGCAGUUAAAAAGCUCGUAGUUGUAUUUUUGCGUUGACGGUUUGACCAUUUGGUUGGUUAUUUCGUUUUCGCUUUUGGGAAUUUCCCUUUUUACUUUGAGAAAAUUAGAGUGUUUCAAGCAGACUUUUGUCUUGAAUACUUCAGCAUGGAAUAAUAGAGUAGGACUUUGGUUCUAUUUUGUUGGUUAUUGAACCUUAGUAAUGGUUAAUAGGAACGGUUGGGGGCAUUCGUAUUUAACUGUCAGAGGUGAAAUUCUUAGAUUUGUUAAAGACGAACUACUGCGAAAGCAUUUGCCAAGGACGUUUCCAUUAAUCAAGAACGAAAGUUAGGGGAUCGAAGACGAUCAGAUACCGUCGUAGUCCUAACCAUAAACUAUGCCGACUAGUGAU
RNAcentral lists this ribosomal RNA (492 nucleotides) under Babesia canis. RNAcentral's name for it is "SSU rRNA". It matches the Rfam family "Eukaryotic small subunit ribosomal RNA", at positions 511 to 1053 of the family's 1831-position model. Lineage: Eukaryota; Apicomplexa; Aconoidasida; Piroplasmida; Babesiidae. The record is from RNAcentral.